Molecule: ribosomal RNA, 253 nt
Filed under: uncultured bacterium
Lineage: Bacteria
Description: partial 16S ribosomal RNA
Rfam family: Bacterial small subunit ribosomal RNA
Source: RNAcentral
UACAGGGGGGGCAAGCGUUAUUCGGAAUUAUUGGGCGUAAAGGGCGCGUAGGCGGCUUGACAAGUGGAAGGUGAAAGCCCUCGGCUUAACCGAGGAACUGCGCUUCUAACUGGCAGGCUUGAGUGUGGCAGAGGGGGGUGGAAUUCCACGUGUAGCAGUGAAAUGCGUAGAGAUGUGGAGGAACACCGAUGGCGAAGGCAGCCCCCUGGGCUAACACUGACGCUCAUGCACGAAAGCGUGGGGAGCAAACAGG